This 750-nucleotide ribosomal RNA is filed under the name uncultured bacterium. RNAcentral describes it as "bacterial SSU rRNA". It matches the Rfam family "Bacterial small subunit ribosomal RNA", at positions 47 to 789 of the family's 1533-position model. The record is from RNAcentral.
CUCAAGACUGCCAGUUCGAACGAAGAGACUUUCGGGUCUCCAGUGGCGAACGGGUGAGUAACACGUAGGGAACCUGCCCGCGCACCGGGAAUACGCUCUGGAAACGGAGAACAAAUCUCGAUGUACAGGAAGGAGGCAUCUUCUUUCUGUGAAACAUCCUUUCGGGGAUGGGGCGCGGAUGGACCUGCGGUGCAUUAGUUGGUUGGCGGGGUAAAGGCCCACCAAGACGAUGAUGCAUAGCCGGCCUGAGAGGGCGGACGGCCACAUUGGGACUGAGACACGGCCCUGACUCCUGCGGGAGGCAGCAGUAGGGAAUUUUCGUCAAUGGGCGCAAGCCUGAACGAGCGAUGCCGCGUGAGUGAAGAAGGCCUUCGGGUCGUAAAGCUCUGUUGCGGGGGAAAAAAGGCAGCAUCAGGAAAUGGGUGCUGACUGAUGGUGCCCCGCCAGAAAGUCACGGCUAACUACGUGCCAGCAGCCGCGGUAAUACGUAGGUGGCGAGCGUUAUCCGGAAUGAUUGGGCGUAAAGGGUGCGCAGGCGGUCCUGCGAGUCUGGAGUGAAACGCAUGAGCUCAACUCAUGCAUGGCUUUGGAAACUGGAGGACUGGAGAGCAGGAGAGGGCGGUGGAACUCCAUGUGUAGCGGUAAAAUGCGUAGAUAUAUGGAAGAACACCAGUGGCGAAGGCGGCCGCCUGGCCUGUUGCUGACGCUGAGGCACGAAAGCGUGGGGAGCAAAUAGGAUUAGAUACCCUA